UAUAAUGAUUGUGGUGGGCACUCACUAAGAGAUGUUUCAACUCAGGUGCCCUUUCUGUAGUUUUUCAAAAUACCAAAAUAAAUCAACAGUAGGUGCUAUUUUAAGUAAUAAAUAUGAAGCCUGUGAGAGUGUCAGAUCGAAAUAGGAAUAUGGAGUAAAUUAAGAGCCAGCUGGAUUGUUUUCCUCUUUCAUCUAUUACUAUGUUCUUAAUUGCAUGGCUUCUUCGUUCUGUUGUUUGAUAAAGCUGUGGAGGGUGAACACAAGACUGAGCCUGCUGCAGAGCUGCCUUGCAAAGCACAGACAAAGAAGAUCAAGGCAACACAAAUGGAAAAUCCAUGAGACCCUUUCAGCUAGGCGGUGCUGACGAGGUUCUAAUUGAUGGGGUAGCUAGUGGGGACGCACCCUGCGCAUUACUGAAGUGUGAGCAAUAAACCACAAGUGUCUCUGAGAAGUGUUCCCCUCCUCUCCCUCUGUUUUCAAUGCUGUUGAAAGGGGCUAGGAAGGCAGGCAGAAUAAGAACAGUAAAGCCAGCAAGCUUCCCAUUCGUCCUGCCAGGUGUAUGCUCACGAAAGCAGGCUGUAACCAAAUAGCGUGGUUCUGGGCAUCAGCUGAUCACUAUUGGAGUCAGGAAGAAAAGUGUCAGCCCCUAAUCUGCAAUGCAGCAUUGCACAAUUGGAUGAGUAGCCCUCCCCUUGACACCUUCCUCUGACCCAUCCAGCACUGGUGGAUACUGGACUUGAGACACCAACGGUGAGAUCCAGUUUGGCAAAUGCCCUGUUGCUAGAUCCUUAAUAGCCAUUGCUGCUUAGA
This is a long non-coding RNA of Gopherus flavomarginatus (Mexican gopher tortoise), 810 nucleotides long. RefSeq lists it as uncharacterized. The transcript has 3 exons. NCBI's taxonomy places the organism in Eukaryota, Metazoa, Chordata, Testudines, Testudinidae. The record is from RefSeq and is a predicted model, not a curated record.